Cannabis sativa is the source of this 2050-nucleotide long non-coding RNA. RefSeq lists it as uncharacterized. Lineage: Eukaryota; Viridiplantae; Streptophyta; Magnoliopsida; Rosales; Cannabaceae. The transcript has 4 exons. The record is from RefSeq and is a predicted model, not a curated record.
UGAAUUUAACAGAUUAAGGAUAACGGGAAGAUAUUAGUGAACAGCAAAAACUUGGAUCAGCAAGCUAAUAAUAUAUUUAACUCUCCAAACUCCUCCACUUGGUUGCUUCUAUCUCCAUUUCCAAGACCACACUCACUUCCUUCUUUGACUAUUGGGUACUAUUUCUCAAUACCAUAACCAUUUAUAUAUAAUAGAUAUAGAUAUAAUCUUUGAUUGGAAGAUUUUAAAAGUCUCUAUGCAACUCGGAUGCCCAAUACAGGCUCCAAACUAACACAACUUCUUUACUUAAAUUUUUAUUAGCUUUGGUUAGCUUGAGCCAAAACUAAUACAGGCAUCAGAUAUAUAUAUAUAUAUAUUGUACACGAAUAUAUAAAUGGUGCAGUGAGACUUUCCAAGAAAGAGUACAUGAAUAUAUAUAUUAUUAGCUUGCUGAUCUAAGUUUUUGCUGUCAACAAUUUUUUAGCUUCACUUAAGGAAAUUUGUUGAAAAUCAAAUCAAUGGGUUGAUCAAGAUAGGUCUACUCCACUCUCCUAUUCUCUCCAACCAUGUCGUCGGUAUAAUGCAGUACCGAUCCGUUUGCCAAGAAUGACUGGUAUGACAUCAAGGCUCCUUCUCUCUUCAACCAAAGAUAAGUUGGCAAAACUCUUCUUGGGAACUAAGAUUUAUCUACUGAAAUUUUAAGCUUUAAUGAUUUUGAUUAUUAUUUAUAUUUUUGAUAUAUUUAUUAUUAUUAUUUUUGGGAUAGGCACUUCAAGAUUUAACUUAGUUGCUCAUGGAUUUACAAUUUUCAGACUAAUAAAAAACCUUUUUUAUUAGUAUUUGUGUGGAUGUAAAGCUUUAUUUGUACUUUAUUAGGUGUUUUGGUAGAGAAAUGUGAUUCCUAGCUAGACUAAAGCCGUUAUUUUUUUUUUCAUCCUUUCAUUUUGUGCAUUUAAGUUUUGGGUGGUUUAAAUUUAAGCAGGCUACCAAUGGUAAAAGUUAUGUCGAUAUUUAAAUUUAUUAUGAUGAUAACUUCGGUGCUUAAGGAGAUUAGGAUGACACUGCUUGCUCAAGAACCUUAUUUUACAUCAAUUAGUUAUUUCUUUUGUUAAAUUUUUAUAUGGUAUUCAUUUCGGUAAAGGUAAUUUAGAUUGAAGAAAUGCUAAACUCAACUGUUAUGUUAUUUCAUAUAUCUAAUUGGGCUAAUUUGCAUUAUUUUCUUUGUGUUGUAUAGUUGAUUGAGUGCAUACUAUAUAACUUCAUUUAUAUUUAAUUUAUGUUUUUAUACUCUCACAGAUAGAUUGCUUCUGAAUGUCUUAACAAUAGAUUGCUUAUCUCCAAAAGGUUGCAAAUCAUGCUUAUUGGAAAAUCUGUUUGAGAGUUGAAGAUGUUCAAGGGAAGAAUGUUCUCACAAACUUCUGGAUAAGUUGAGGUCGCUUGUCUUAAAGAAAGAGAAGGCUUGUGUGCAAGUGGCAAACACUAAUUAAGGCUCAUGUGGAUGUCACGACCACUGACAUUGCUUUCACUGAGAUAUGGUAAAAGACUAAUUGAUUGCAGAAAUUUUCCCCGGGGUACGAUCAGUGAUAUGGUAAAAGAUGUUUGUCGGGGGAUAUCAUUUGUUUAUAACAACAUAGCAUACUACGGUGGUGACACUGACAGGUAUAAAGUUGAACAUGGAGAUGAGGGAGAGGAAAAUAAUAAUUAUGGAGUCAGUAGCCUCAGAAAGCAGGAAGAAGAGGGGGAGGAGCUCACUGGUCACACCACCACCGAGAUCAAGAGGUGGGAUCAAGCGCAAGAUUUUGUUUCUCCUCUUCAAACAACUCAAGCUUGUAACUCUACAACUUCUCAAUCACCUACAUUCCGAGUGAUAUUAUUAGUCUUAUCUUACUAUUUGCACUUUUUUCUUUCAGUUGUUGAAGGCAUCCUCCCUCUAUACACUUAUACGUAUAUAUAUUUUUUAAGUGUGUGUUUCUUAAUAUAGUUAUUCCCCAUUUGUUAAAAUAUAAUUAUAUGCAUAAUGUAUGUACUAGUUAUUCUUCAAGAUAUCAAUUUCAUAUAUAUCGGGACGCGA